CUACGGGGCGCUCCAGUGGGGAAUAUUGGGCAAUGGGCGCAAGCCUGACCCAGCAACGCCGCGUGAGGGAAGAAGGUUUUCGGAUUGUAAACCUCUGUCCUUGGGGACGAAGAAGUGACGGUACCCAAGGAGGAAGCUCCGGCUAACUACGUACCAGCAGCCGCGGUAAUACGUAGGGAGCAAGCGUUGUCCGGAAUUACUGGGCGUAAAGGGUGCGUAGGCGGCAUAUUAAGUCAGGUGUGAAAUACUCGGGCUCAACCCGGGGGCUGCAUUUGAAACUGAUAUGCUUGAGUGUGAGAGAGGAAAGUGGAAUUCCUAGUGUAGCGGUGGAAUGCGUAGAUAUUAGGAGGAACACCAGUGGCGAAGGCGACUUUCUGGCUCAUAACUGACGCUGAGGCACGAAAGCGUGGGGAGCAAACAGGAUUAGAUACCCUUGUAGUC
Molecule: ribosomal RNA, 441 nt
Filed under: uncultured bacterium
Lineage: Bacteria
Description: partial 16S ribosomal RNA
Rfam family: Bacterial small subunit ribosomal RNA
Source: RNAcentral